This 3765-nucleotide long non-coding RNA is filed under the name Monomorium pharaonis (pharaoh ant). RNAcentral describes it as "uncharacterized LOC118645421". The record is from RNAcentral. Lineage: Eukaryota; Metazoa; Arthropoda; Insecta; Hymenoptera; Formicidae.
GGAUAGGCGAAGAAUGUUUCUAUUGUGUUUAAAUUAAGUUGACGGGCGCGGUUUUACUUUCACCGUUCGAGUGCUGGCGGCAUUCUUCGACGGCGCAGCGCGUGCACCUUUCUUGCCUCUCUUUCUUCGGCGACGGUUAUGGAAAGUAAACCGCGUCUGACACAUCGGGGUCGCAAAAAGGAUGUAGGGUGACGGAACUGCGAAAUAACGCGUAAGCGGCCGUCAAGGAUAACACGGCUGUUUCCUACUUGUGUAAUCUCCGCCCGGGCUGGAAAAAUCUUACGGGUGCAACACGCACGUGUGACGUGUUAGCUCACGUAGCGUAAUACAUUAAUGAUAAAUGGAAUGAAAAAUUGCACGAAUUAUUUGUAAGUGUGUGCAAUCGCGCGCGAAAACAUUUUUUUCUUCGUUCACGACUGUACGAGGAUGCAAUCGUUUUAUCGCAAUGCGAUGAAUCAGCUGAAGCUCGUAUGCAACGUUAAAUUUGGUGAUUUUUUUCUUAUCUACACGAAAAGAACAGUUUCGCUAAAGUAUUUAAAAAUUUAGUUGACUACAGAUCUGAAAGUAAUUUUGCUAGAUCAAAAUAAUUAUGUAGAACGCUCAAGCUGGUGGCUACAAUAAUUAAAGCUUUUUAUAUGGUAUUGCUUGCUCAUUAUUGAUUGAAAGCUCAUUGUUUCAUAAUUAUUUUCAUGACAACAAAACUAAUUUUAGAUCUAUGUUGAGUUAAAUUUUAGACACUUUAGCAAAAUUAUUCUUUCCGUGCAUCUAUUGCUAUAAAUCAGACAACAAAAUGCAAGAUUGCGGAGUAGAAUCUUGUUAAAAGAUCUUAUCGAUCUCUUACUUUUUUUUUUAAUCUUGCCAUUUUCUAAACGCCAUUUUAUAUUUAACUUUUUAGAGUGUGGGAACCUUUUUCCGAAGACAUACAAGAUGUUCGCGUAACUUUAUCACUGUAAGGGGUUUGAAAGGUGAUGAUUGGCGCGUGAAAGGAAGCGAGUUUAAAGGGUAGGUAGCACGAAGAGAAGAGCAUAAAACGGCGGGUGGAUAUUAAAAGCUUCGUUUAUUUCUCAAUUUCUUGUAUCCCUUUUCAUAUUAUGAAUAUAAUAACGAUUCUUAUCACGCUUUGUCGUAAGUAUCUUAUCAUCGGAACAUCGAGAACGUUGGUCGAGGACACCGGCGUGAACUCGAUCGACGUCACGCAUUCGCGUUUUCCGCUCUGCGCCCAAUUCCAAUUGUGGCGCAAUUAACGAGCCCCAUGUCGAUCGAGUUCUUCCGGAAAGGCUUAAACGUAACCUUCCGCCUCGAUACGUACUCCCUUCGCUCACUAUUAGAUCGACGAUCGAAUCACAUUUGCGUUCUCUAUCUAAAUUCCUUAAGUAUCUCUGUCUCUCAUCGAUUAGGAAGUAGACAAACGUGUGCGGAGCGUUUUUCGACUGACUUAAGCGAUCUAUUUGCGGCCAGCGUAAUUCAGGAAAACGUACGCGACCCUCGUAAAUGUUCGCGAUUCUCCCAUAUCUUCCCCUUAAUGACUAAACACCCGAAUGAAGAUCGAAAUAACACACGAAGAAACCGGAGCAUGCAAAUUCGAACGUGCGCGUGUGUACGUAUGUAUGUAUGUAUGUAUGUAUGUGUACGUAUGUAUAAGAGUGUCUGUUGCAUGUCUAUAAGCUGUUCUCUAAGAAGAUGCAUAUUGAUAAUACGAACGUGUCUUCCUCAGACACAGCCGUUUCAUUUUGAAAAGAUAUUUUUUUAGACUAAAACAGAGCAAAUGAAAUAGGAGGGCUUAUUUUUCGCUCAAACUGUCUUAAAUCCAUACUUUCAGAAAUUAGUGUUACAAAGCUGUGGAAAUUAUUAUUACAUAAAAUAUUAUAAUUCCACAGCUUCAUAAUAGCGUAACCUUUUAAUAUCGAAUUUAUUUACUUUUUGAUAAGGAUGUAAGACAGUUUGAAAAUAAGCUCUUUAAUUUGAAACUUGGAGAAUCGACAGUUAAAAAUUUACUAAUUUUGAGUUACUAAUUUUUAAUUAAAUCUUUCUUUGUUUAAAAAUUUAAUUUGAAAAUCAACAGAUUAUCGAAAUCUGAUGUAGUAAUUUAAAGUAACGAUAUGUAAACUGUACAAAUUACACUUUUGUGCUAAGAUUAAACAUUUUGACCUUCGAUUUUUUUCAAGAAUAGAGCUUUACUGUUGAUCUGAAGCAUAUUACAUGUGUAUUCUUGUGUCGCUCGUAUUGCAGCUUGUAUUUUGAGAAACAAUAAGACAAUAAAAUGGAAAACAAACAGCUAUGUAUCGAUCGUGGAAAGAGGAUAAAAUCUUAAAAUCUGUGGAAGUACAAAAUUGGAAGAGUAGAAAAGGACUAGGAAUAGUUAAAAAUCGAGCUCAAAAUUUGUGAAAUGUUCACUGCAUAUUUGCAAUGAUAUUGAUUAAUAUUGACGCUAUAUUUCAGCACAGGUACCGUUUUUGAUAAUUAAAAUCUAUCAUAUUCCUCCUUUUAUAUUUUGAUACGAAUUUAGAUAACUAAUCUGAGUAAAGUGUAUAUAUGGGGAUAAAAUUGGUAUACAAAUUAAUUUAUGAAAAUAUAUUGCAUCCCUUUAUAUGAUUAAAAUAUGUGAAAUAACAUCUGCGUUCAGGGUUUACAGUGAGACUAUUUGGCAAGAGAAUACAAUACUAUUUAAGCUGUAGCUUAGUAAUUUUUAAUUAAAUUUUUGUUACUUUUUAAGGAAGCAUUUGCGAACAAGCUGAAGCUUUUCCACUUAGAAUUUCUUAUUCAAUCCCACUUUCCCUUCAUUACACUGUAGGUAAAAUAAAAUAUAUAAUUUCUUAUUCGAUCUCACUUUCCCGUCAUUACACUGUAGGUAAAAUAAAAUAAAAAAUAUUUUGCGCAUUAAUUAUAGCAUUUCAAUUAUAAAAGAAACAAUUUUUAUAAAUCGAAACGAUCUUAAAGUUAUAUUGCUCUUUAUGAUUUGUGACAUUAAAAAAUAAAUAACAGUAUAGAAAAUACUAAAUUUUAAACUUUCAACUGUAAUUAACUUCGAAUAAGUACACUUGCAGUGAUAUAACGUUUAAUGGGAAUAAAGGAAUGUAAUGAGUAUCGCGAUUAAAAAUCAAAUAAUUGGUUAAGAUUAAACAGAAACCUGAGAAAAGAUAUAUAAAGUGGAAGCUUGAGAAAUGAUUCAAGGUAUCUUGGAUGUUUAUGUUUCGUUAUUCGUAAAAUCGUAUAUGUUCGUUGACUAGAUGAUGUAAUGCCCAGUCUACAAUGAGUCGUUGGUCGUUGGUCGUAAGAAAUUUAACCAAUCACAGUUGAUCUUAGAGAAGAAUAACCGAACAUAAUUGGUUAAAUUUCUUACGACCAACGACCAACGACUCAUUGUAGACUGGGCAUAAAGCUUUGUAAUAAUACAUAAUAUUGUAAUAUGUAACGUAUUUUUAGAACUCGCCCCUUAGGCCUUUAAUAACGAAAAAAGUAACGCGGUGUGUGCACAGGUCCCAUAAUCACUGGAUAUCCUAUAACCGCAGUUUCUUUGGUUCAUUUGGAGAUUUUUCCUUAGCGAGAAUAUCGAAGGAAAUCGUUCUUUACUUUAUUUAAUCGCACGUUUUCGAUCUUUAACGUUGGAUAGUUUCAUAUUCAAAUAAAAAUCCUAUUAAUUAUUUAUUCUCCACUUUUGAGAAGCUGAGCGAGAGGAAUAUGUUAUUUUUCUAUCCCGAAAUUUCAUCCGCUAGAGGUUCUUUCAAUAGUUCAAUAAUUCAAUUGUUAAAAAAAAAAAAAAAAAAA